RNAcentral lists this ribosomal RNA (464 nucleotides) under uncultured Geobacteraceae bacterium. RNAcentral describes it as "partial 16S ribosomal RNA". It matches the Rfam family "Bacterial small subunit ribosomal RNA", at positions 338 to 794 of the family's 1533-position model. The record is from RNAcentral. Lineage: Bacteria; Pseudomonadati; Thermodesulfobacteriota; Desulfuromonadia; Geobacterales; Geobacteraceae.
CCUACGGGAGGCAGCAGUGGGGAAUUUUGCGCAAUGGGGGCAACCCUGACGCAGCAACGCCGCGUGAGUGAUGAAGGCCUUCGGGUCGUAAAGCUCUGUCAGAGGGGAAGAAAUGCAGGUGGUGAACAACCAUUCUGUUUGACGGUACCCUCAAAGGAAGCACCGGCUAACUCCGUGCCAGCAGCCGCGGUAAUACGGAGGGUGCAAGCGUUGUUCGGAAUUAUUGGGCGUAAAGCGCGUGUAGGCGGUUUGUUAAGUUUGAUGUGAAAGCCCCGGGCUAAACCGGGAAAGUGCAUGGGAUACUGGCAGACUUGAGUACGGGAGAGGAGAGUGGAAUUCCCAGUGUAGGAGUAAAAUCCGUAGAUAUUGGGAGGAACACCGGUUGCGAAGGCGAUCAUCGGGCUCGUUACUGACGCUCAGGGACGAAAGCGUGGGGAGCAAACAGGAUUAGAUCCCCUGGUAGU